AAACUGGAGAGUUUGAUUCUGGCUCAGGACGAACGCUGGCGGCGUGCUUAAGACAUGCAAGUCGUACGAGAAAGCCUCUUCGGAGGUGAGUAAAGUGGCGCACGGGUGAGUAACGCGUGGGUAAUCUGCCCUCGGGUCUGGGAUAACCCCGGGAAACCGGAGCUAAUACCAGGUAAGACCACGACGACCUCGGUCGAUGUGGGAAAAGGUGGCCUCUCCUUGGAAGCUAUCGCCGGAGGAUGAGCCCGCGUUUGAUUAGCUAGUUGGUGAGGUAACGGCUCACCAAGGCUCCGAUCAAUAGCUGGUCUGAGAGGAUGAUCAGCCACACUGGAACUGAGACACGGUCCAGACUCCUACGGGAGGCAGCAGUCGGGAAUAUUGGGCAAUGGGCGAAAGCCUGACCCAGCAACGCCGCGUGAAGGAUGAAGGCCCUCGGGUCGUAAACUUCUGUCGAGAGGGAAGAACGCGUACGGGUGAAUAAUCCGUGCGUCUGACGGUACCUCCAAAGGAAGCACCGGCUAACUCCGUGCCAGCAGCCGCGGUAAUACG
This 549-nucleotide ribosomal RNA is filed under the name Myxococcales bacterium. Its description in RNAcentral is "bacterial SSU rRNA". It matches the Rfam family "Bacterial small subunit ribosomal RNA", at positions 1 to 527 of the family's 1533-position model. The record is from RNAcentral. Lineage: Bacteria; Pseudomonadati; Myxococcota; Myxococcia; Myxococcales.